This 241-nucleotide long non-coding RNA is filed under the name Elaeis guineensis (African oil palm). RNAcentral's name for it is "long non-coding RNA (EGUI_LNC019878)". The record is from RNAcentral. Lineage: Eukaryota; Viridiplantae; Streptophyta; Magnoliopsida; Arecales; Arecaceae.
AUAUAUGAUUCAAUAGAAAUCAUAGAUAAUUCAAUCUAGUAUAAUCUAGUUUGGCUAGGAUCACUGUCAGCAUGCUGUUCAAAGACCACGGAUCAAGAUUUGUUCAUCAGGAUCAUUCAAACUCAUUGAGAUAGUCUUCUCAAAUAUCUAAAAAAUCUUAAGGGAGAGAAAUAAUCUAGAAAGAUGAUGCGCUCCUGUCACAAAAGCGAUCAAAGAUAAAAAUUAACCGACUGUCGCUCCG